This 2467-nucleotide ribosomal RNA is filed under the name Campylobacter coli. RNAcentral's name for it is "partial 23S ribosomal RNA". It matches the Rfam family "Bacterial large subunit ribosomal RNA", at positions 614 to 2925 of the family's 2925-position model. Lineage: Bacteria; Pseudomonadati; Campylobacterota; Epsilonproteobacteria; Campylobacterales; Campylobacteraceae. The record is from RNAcentral.
AAUGAGCCUGCGAGUUGUGGUGUCUGGCAAGGUUAAGCAAACGCGAAGCCGUAGCGAAAGCGAGUCUGAAUAGGGCGCUUAGUCAGAUGCUGCAGACCCGAAACGAAGUGAUCUAUCCAUGAGCAAGUUGAAGCUAGUGUAAGAACUAGUGGAGGACUGAACCCAUAGGCGUUGAAAAGCCCCGGGAUGACUUGUGGAUAGGGGUGAAAGGCCAAUCAAACUUCGUGAUAGCUGGUUCUCUCCGAAAUAUAUUUAGGUAUAGCGUUGUGUCGUAAUAUAAGGGGGUAGAGCACUGAAUGGGCUAGGGCAUACACCAAUGUACCAAACCCUAUCAAACUCCGAAUACCUUAUAUGUAAUCACAGCAGUCAGGCGGCGAGUGAUAAAAUCCGUCGUCAAGAGGGAAACAACCCAGACUACCAGCUAAGGUCCCUAAAUCUUACUUAAGUGGAAAACGAUGUGAAGUUACUUAAACAACCAGGAGGUUGGCUUAGAAGCAGCCAUCCUUUAAAGAAAGCGUAAUAGCUCACUGGUCUAGUGAUUUUGCGCGGAAAAUAUAACGGGGCUAAAGUAAGUACCGAAGCUGUAGACUUGCGCACAACUUAGAUUAUUUAAGUUUAGAAUAUGAGAAACUAAGUUAUGUUUAGUUAUAUUUUUACUGAUUUUUAUAGAGUAAAGAUAGAAAUAAAACUUAGUAAAAUCAGUAAAAAUAUUCUUAGACUAAAGUUAAGUAGUUUAAGUUGUGUGCAAGUGGUAGGAGAGCGUUCUAUUUGCGUCGAAGGUAUACCGGUAAGGAGUGCUGGAGCGAAUAGAAGUGAGCAUGCAGGCAUGAGUAGCGAUAAUUAAUGUGAGAAUCAUUAACGCCGUAAACCCAAGGUUUCCUACGCGAUGCUCGUCAUCGUAGGGUUAGUCGGGUCCUAAGUCGAGUCCGAAAGGGGUAGACGAUGGCAAAUUGGUUAAUAUUCCAAUACCAACAUUAGUGUGCGAUGGAAGGACGCUUAGGGCUAAGGGGGCUAGCGGAUGGAAGUGCUAGUCUAAGGUCGUAGGAGGUUAUACAGGCAAAUCCGUAUAACAAUACUCCGAGAACUGAAAGGCUUUUUGAAGUCUUCGGAUGGAUAGAAGAACCCCUGAUGCCGUCGAGCCAAGAAAAGUUUCUAAGUUUAGCUAAUGUUGCCCGUACCGUAAACCGACACAGGUGGGUGGGAUGAGUAUUCUAAGGCGCGUGGAAGAACUCUCUUUAAGGAACUCUGCAAAAUAGCACCGUAUCUUCGGUAUAAGGUGUGGUUAGCUUUGUAUUAGGAUUUACUCCGAAAGCAAGGAAACUUACAACAAAGAGUCCCUCCCGACUGUUUACCAAAAACACAGCACUCUGCUAACUCGUAAGAGGAUGUAUAGGGUGUGACGCCUGCCCGGUGCUCGAAGGUUAAUUGAUGGGGUUAGCAUUAGCGAAGCUCUUGAUCGAAGCCCGAGUAAACGGCGGCCGUAACUAUAACGGUCCUAAGGUAGCGAAAUUCCUUGUCGGUUAAAUACCGACCUGCAUGAAUGGCGUAACGAGAUGGGAGCUGUCUCAAAGAGGGAUCCAGUGAAAUUGUAGUGGAGGUGAAAAUUCCUCCUACCCGCGGCAAGACGGAAAGACCCCGUGGACCUUUACUACAGCUUGACACUGCUACUUGGAUAAGAAUGUGCAGGAUAGGUGGGAGGCUUUGAGUAUAUGACGCCAGUUGUAUAUGAGCCAUUGUUGAGAUACCACUCUUUCUUAUUUGGGUAGCUAACCAGCUUGAGUUAUCCUCAAGUGGGACAAUGUCUGGUGGGUAGUUUGACUGGGGCGGUCGCCUCCCAAAUAAUAACGGAGGCUUACAAAGGUUGGCUCAGAACGGUUGGAAAUCGUUCGUAGAGUAUAAAGGUAUAAGCCAGCUUAACUGCAAGACAUACAAGUCAAGCAGAGACGAAAGUCGGUCUUAGUGAUCCGGUGGUUCUGUGUGGAAGGGCCAUCGCUCAAAGGAUAAAAGGUACCCCGGGGAUAACAGGCUGAUCUCCCCCAAGAGCUCACAUCGACGGGGAGGUUUGGCACCUCGAUGUCGGCUCAUCGCAUCCUGGGGCUGGAGCAGGUCCCAAGGGUAUGGCUGUUCGCCAUUUAAAGCGGUACGCGAGCUGGGUUCAGAACGUCGUGAGACAGUUCGGUCCCUAUCUGCCGUGGGCGUAAGAAGAUUGAAGAGAUUUGACCCUAGUACGAGAGGACCGGGUUGAACAAACCACUGGUGUAGCUGUUGUUCUGCCAAGAGCAUCGCAGCGUAGCUAAGUUUGGAAAGGAUAAACGCUGAAAGCAUCUAAGCGUGAAGCCAACUCUAAGAUGAAUCUUCUCUAAGCUCUCUAGAAGACUACUAGUUUGAUAGGCUGGGUGUGUAAUGGAUGAAAGUCCUUUAGCUGACCAGUACUAAUAGAGCGUUUGGCUUAUCUUUAAUAAAGCAU